This 695-nucleotide ribosomal RNA is filed under the name Cryobacterium sp. Y4_715. RNAcentral describes it as "bacterial SSU rRNA". It matches the Rfam family "Bacterial small subunit ribosomal RNA", at positions 55 to 751 of the family's 1533-position model. Lineage: Bacteria; Bacillati; Actinomycetota; Actinomycetes; Micrococcales; Microbacteriaceae. The record is from RNAcentral.
AUGCAGUCGAACGGUGAAGGAGAGCUUGCUCUUUGGAUCAGUGGCGAACGGGUGAGUAACACGUGAGCAAUCUGCCCUUGACUCUGGGAUAACUGCGGGAAACUGUAGCUAAUACCGGAUACGACCUGGAGAGGCAUCUUUUUGGGUGGAAAGAAUUUUGGUCAAGGAUGAGCUCGCGGCCUAUCAGCUUGUUGGUGAGGUAAUGGCUCACCAAGGCGACGACGGGUAGCCGGCCUGAGAGGGUGACCGGCCACACUGGGACUGAGACACGGCCCAGACUCCUACGGGAGGCAGCAGUGGGGAAUAUUGCACAAUGGGCGCAAGCCUGAUGCAGCAACGCCGCGUGAGGGACGAAGGCCUUCGGGUUGUAAACCUCUUUUAGUAGGGAAGAAGCGACUGGGUUUUCCUGGGAGUGACGGUACCUGCAGAAAAAGCACCGGCUAACUACGUGCCAGCAGCCGCGGUAAUACGUAGGGUGCAAGCGUUGUCCGGAAUUAUUGGGCGUAAAGAGCUCGUAGGCGGUUUGUCGCGUCUGCUGUGAAAACCCGAGGCUCAACCUCGGGCCUGCAGUGGGUACGGGCAGACUAGAGUGCGGUAGGGGAGAUUGGAAUUCCUGGUGUAGCGGUGGAAUGCGCAGAUAUCAGGAGGAACACCAAUGGCGAAGGCAGAUCUCUGGGCCGUAACUGACGCUGAGG